This 64-nucleotide transfer RNA is filed under the name Anolis carolinensis (green anole). It matches the Rfam family "tRNA". From Rfam's summary of the family: Transfer RNA (tRNA) molecules are approximately 80 nucleotides in length. Their secondary structure includes four short double-helical elements and three loops (D, anti-codon, and T loops). The record is from Rfam by way of RNAcentral. Lineage: Eukaryota; Metazoa; Chordata; Lepidosauria; Squamata; Anolidae.
GGUGUAGUGGUUUGAGCAUUGGACUAUGGCUUCAGAGACCAGGGUUCAAUUCCCUGCUCAGCCA